CUCAGGGCGUGGGAGUCGACGUUUAAGUAGAUCAGAGUAAGCGGUACCCUGCUGAAGAGGUUUUUCCAAAGCCUGUGGUCAGUCACUGAGGGGCAACAUCAGGAGGGGCAGGUUCACCCCCGCAACAGACUCACCCACCAGCCAGCCAGCUCACUGCCUAUGAGUGGGCGAGGUCUCUCUCCCUUGAAAUUGUCUGUAGCACCCAGAAGAGGCCCUGUUCAAGGCUGUUGAUCAAGACAGAAGGGAAAUCAGGGAUCGUGUCUGC
Molecule: long non-coding RNA, 265 nt
Filed under: Pan troglodytes (chimpanzee)
Lineage: Eukaryota; Metazoa; Chordata; Mammalia; Primates; Hominidae
Description: long non-coding RNA NONPTRT001494
Source: RNAcentral